CACUGCCAAUUAAUUGUUGUGUCCAAGUAAGUUUUUUUUUUCUACUGUUAUAUCUGUUUUUAACUACUAUUAUACUUUUGUUCUUUGUUUUUAGUGGGUGGUUUCCUGGGUCUCUUUGAUGGAGUUUCUCAGGAUGAAAUUGAGAUAUGGGCUCUUAGGGAUUUGAAGAUGAUGAAGUGGGGUGAAGUUGCAAUCGAUAACUGACAGUGGUAGAUACUUGGUGAAAAGGAACAUAAAUUGGCAAAUGAAUGGGCUUUUGAAGGUGAAAAGAUCAUUCAUGGAAAUCCAUUUGGGAUAGACAAUACAGUUAGCACUAUGGGAAACUUGAUAAAGUUAGAAUCUGGUGCUUAAUUUAACCUCCAUCAAAUCCAAUAUGCCACUGAUAAUGCCAAACAUAGACACAAGAGUUGGUAGAAACACAAAGGCAUUAAUCACGAGUGUUGCAGAAAGAAGAGACAGACAUCCAGACACAAUGGCAUAUGUUGAUUACAUCAGCGUUGAACUCGCAUCCACAAUCCAGUUUUCCUAAUUAUAUAUCUACAAAUGAUGGGCAAAUAACAUCUCUCGUAAUGAUUCAAUAAUUGUUGAUGUUUGCCAAGUGAGUUUACUUUAAAAAAACUUAUAAUGACAAUGCUUAAGUAUUUAUUUUUAUAUUUUGACAGGGGCAAUACAAGUUGACUUUGAUUUUUCCUACAUGUGAGAAGAUAUUACACCCAAAUUCAAUCAGAAUUUACUUAUACGUUUGAUCCAUUCAUGUAUCUGUCAUUACCAAUUCAAUCAGAAUCAAAACCAAGAAUCUUAUUCUUGCUGAACUCAAGUUUGUGACAUUCAAUCAUGUACAUUAUCACGCUCAAUCUUAUCUCAUAUGGGUUCAUACAUGUAAGCUUUUAAUUAAUCCGUCUACAUUUGUAGAUUUCUAUUUCUAUAUUUUGUUUCGUUUUACUCACCUAAUUUAUACCUUAUAACAUCACCUGAUCACACCUGGCACUCGAAUCCAUACAAGGAAAGCUCACUGAAGGUAAGUUCACAUUCUUUAUAAAUCAAAGUUUUCUCUUAUUUUAAUGCACAAUUAGAUUUCAAGAAACAUGUGAACAUGUGGUAUCAUCUAUAGAUUUGAAUAUUAUUCCAAUUUA
This is a non-coding RNA of Lactuca sativa (garden lettuce), 1133 nucleotides long. The record is from RefSeq and is a predicted model, not a curated record. Lineage: Eukaryota; Viridiplantae; Streptophyta; Magnoliopsida; Asterales; Asteraceae.